UGGACCAAUGAUGACAACUGGUGCAUGUGAGUUUUGUGCGAUGAGUACCUGGUGUCUGAAACUCUGAGGUCUGA
Sciurus vulgaris (Eurasian red squirrel) is the source of this 74-nucleotide small nucleolar RNA. Ensembl annotates it as small nucleolar RNA, C/D box 114-11. Lineage: Eukaryota; Metazoa; Chordata; Mammalia; Rodentia; Sciuridae. The record is from Ensembl.